CAUUAGCGUAUAUUAAAGUUGCUGCGGUUAAAAAGCUCGUAGUUGGAUUUUGGAAAUGAGAGCGACGUGCCUGCCGGAUAGGUGUGUGCCGUUGGUCCAUUUCUUUCCUUUCCGUUGCGGCGCCGGCUCAUUAAUUUGGGCCGGGCUUGUUCGCGCGGAAUCGUUUUCUUUGAAAAAAGGGGAGCGUUCAAAGCAGGCCGACUUUCGGCCGUUGAACAUUCUAGCAUGGGAUAAUGAAAGAAGACUUCUAGUCAAUUUUGUUGGUUUUCAGACCAGAAGUAAUGAUUAACAGGAGCAAUUGGGGAUCUUCGUAUUCAGUUGUCAGAGGUGAAAUUCUUGGAUUAUCGGAAGACGAACUUCUGCGAAAGCAUUGAUCAAGCGUGUUUUCAUUAA
Molecule: ribosomal RNA, 393 nt
Filed under: uncultured eukaryote
Lineage: Eukaryota
Description: partial 18S ribosomal RNA
Rfam family: Eukaryotic small subunit ribosomal RNA
Source: RNAcentral